AUGAUUAAGCUUUGUUCUUUUCUAGCUCUCAUUUAUGAACUUGCUUGUGCUGACCCUCUUAAUGAUCCUCCUGAUGAGCUUUGUUCAAGCACUACUAAUUACACGGCGGGUAGUCGUUUUGAAAAUAACCUCAAAGAUCUCUUCCUUUCUUUAUCUUCAAAUUCUUCUUUUACUAGGUUCUACAACACUUCUUCUGGAAACGACCCAGAUAGAGUUUAUGGACUGUAUAUGUGCUUCAACUACGUAAAUGGAAACGACUGCCAGAGCUGUGUAAGCCUUGCAACAACAGAUAUUGUGAAGCUCUGUCCAAACAGUAAGGAAGCAUUUGUAGGGGAGGAACUUUGCCAAUUUCGCUACUCAAAUCAAAAUUUCUUUGGCCAAUUGAAUGUUACAGGAAACAUUCCCAAACAAAAUGAAGUGAACAUUUCAGAGCCACAAUUGUUCAAAGGUGUUGUAAACAAUGUAUUGAGUAACCUUGCGAAAAAGGCAGCUUUUGAUCCUAACAUGUAUGCUACUCGAGAAGAACCCUUUAAAGAUGAUACAAUCUAUGCUCUAGUGCAGUGCAGUACUGACUUGUCUGCAAAUCAAUGUAACUCAUGCCUACAGAAGGCUAUAUCAGAUAUUCAAACAUGCUGCUUUUUCUCUGUUGGUGCAAGACUUUUUAGUCGUAGUUGCUAUUUGCGCUAUGAGUUCUACAACUUCUAUCAAGUUCUACCUUCUUCCACAGAUAAUAUGAAUGGGGAAAGUAGUGUAAGGAAAAUAUGGAUGAUCAUAAUCUUGACGGUUGUACCAGUAUGCCUUGUGGUAGUACUGAUUGCUUUCGUUUACUGGCUUGCAAUGAAUAAAAAAAGCAAAAAAAGGAAGAAUGAAAUUGCAACUCAAGGACCUAUUUUUCGUACCGUUCAUGGCCAACAUAACACUGACUUUCAGCACCAAAAUUUUCAAGGAAGAAAUGAACAGCAAGAUCAAGAACUCCCUUACUUUGAUUUUGCAUCCGUAAGUGCAGCUACUGACAACUUCAGUGAUUCAAAUAAGCUAGGAGAAGGGGCUUUGGCACUGUUUACAAGGGUAUACUGAGUAAUGGAAAGCAAGUAGCAGUGAAAAGGCUUUCCGGUUGUUCUGAACAAGGUUCAUCGGAAUUCACCACUGAAGUUCUGCUCAUUAUGAAAGUUCAACACAAAAAUCUUGUCAGGCUUUUAGGUUUCUGCAUAGAAAGGGAGGAAAAGCUGCUUAUCUAUGAAUACAUGCCGAAUAGCAGCCUAGAUUUCUCUCUCUUUGAUGCAAAUAGACGAGAGCAACUCAAUUGGAGCAGACGAAUUAAUAUCAUAAAUGGAAUUGCUCGGGGAUUACUUUAUCUUCACGAAGAUUCUCGACUUAGAAUAAUUCAUAGGGACCUAAAACCUAGCAAUGUGUUGUUGGAUAAUGACAUGAACCCAAAGAUUUCAGAUUUUGGGAUGGCAAGAAUCAUUGAAGGAAAUGAACAUGAAGCUAAUACUGCUAAAAUAGUUGGGACUUAUGGAUACAUGGCUCCAGAGUAUGCUAUGGAAGGAUUAUAUUCCAUAAAGUCUGAUGUUUAUAGCUUUGGAGUUCUCUUGCUUGAGAUCAUAACUGGGAUAAGGAAUGCUGGCUUCCAUCAAUCGAAACGUGCUCCCAGCCUCCUAGCAUAUGCAUGGAAAUUAUGGAAUGAAGGAAAAGGAUUGGAGUUGAUGGAUCCUUUGUUGACUAAUUCAUUUUCUUCAGAUGAAUUUUUGAGAUACAUUCAUAUUGGUUUACUAUGUGUUCAAGAAGAUGCAUAUUACAGGCCAACAAUGUUCUCUGUUGUCCAAAUGCUUAAAGCUCAAACUAUGACACUCUGUCGACCUGAACGACCUGCUUUCUCUGUGGGGAGAUUCACAGAUCACUAUGAAACAAAUCCUAACAGCUGUUCAGUCAAUGGCUUAACAAGUUCAGGUGUUUUGCCUCGAUGAUGGAGAUGAGGGAUCGGUUUGAUAUCUCACAAUGCCGACAUUUGUUUUGUGUGUUUCCAGACUGGUCAUGACAUUGAAGACCGUACAAACUCAAGGUUAUACCUUAAGUUUAUGGGGGCAUUAGAGAUAAUAUGGCCUUAGAAGCCCAAAACUGUUAUAGGCCCAUUUACUUGUAGAAGAAAGCAAACUAAUUCGAGUGUUAGUCUACAAUUAUCUAGUAUAUAAACCCUAUGUUUGAUCAUU
Quercus lobata is the source of this 2210-nucleotide RNA transcript. It is a transcript of the gene named cysteine-rich receptor-like protein kinase 10, with no coding region annotated. The transcript is spliced from 8 exons. The record is from RefSeq and is a predicted model, not a curated record. Lineage: Eukaryota; Viridiplantae; Streptophyta; Magnoliopsida; Fagales; Fagaceae.